RNAcentral lists this ribosomal RNA (427 nucleotides) under uncultured Halomonas sp. RNAcentral's name for it is "bacterial SSU rRNA". It matches the Rfam family "Bacterial small subunit ribosomal RNA", at positions 355 to 774 of the family's 1533-position model. Lineage: Bacteria; Pseudomonadati; Pseudomonadota; Gammaproteobacteria; Oceanospirillales; Halomonadaceae. The record is from RNAcentral.
UGGGGAAUAUUGGACAAUGGGCGAAAGCCUGAUCCAGCCAUGCCGCGUGUGUGAAGAAGGCCCUCGGGUUGUAAAGCACUUUCAGUGGGGAAGAAAGCCUUGGGAUUAAUACUCCCGAGGAAGGACAUCACCCACAGAAGAAGCACCGGCUAACUCCGUGCCAGCAGCCGCGGUAAUACGGAGGGUGCGAGCGUUAAUCGGAAUUACUGGGCGUAAAGCGCGCGUAGGCGGUCUGAUAAGCCGGUUGUGAAAGCCCCGGGCUCAACCUGGGAAUGGCAUCCGGAACUGUCAGGCUAGAGUGCAGGAGAGGAAGGUAGAAUUCCCGGUGUAGCGGUGAAAUGCGUAGAGAUCGGGAGGAAUACCAGUGGCGAAGGCGGCCUUCUGGACUGACACUGACGCUGAGGUGCGAAAGCGUGGGUAGCAAACA